UACGUAGGGGGCAAGCGUUGCUCGGAUUGACUGGGCGUAAAGGGCGCGUAGGCGGUUCGUACAGUCAGACGUGAAAUUCCUGGGCUCAACCUGGGGGCUGCGUUUGAUACGUGCGGACUUGAGUGCGGAAGAGGGUCGUGGAAUUCCCAGUGUAGAGGUGAAAUUCGUAGAUAUUGGGAAGAACACCGGUGGCGAAGGCGGCGACCUGGUCCGAUACUGACGCUGAGGCGCGAAAGCUAGGGGAGCAAACGGG
Molecule: ribosomal RNA, 253 nt
Filed under: uncultured bacterium
Lineage: Bacteria
Description: partial 16S ribosomal RNA
Rfam family: Bacterial small subunit ribosomal RNA
Source: RNAcentral